GGCCAAGUAAGAAAGGGCAUACAGUGGAUCUCUUGGUGAAGGUCGUUGAUGAAGGCCGUGGUAAACUGCGAUAAGGUGCGGUGAGGAGCAAACAUCCUGUGAUCCGCACAUUGCCGAAUGGGGAAAACCGCCCCGAUGCAAAUCGGGGCACUAUGAUAUGAAUACAUAGUAUCAUAGGAAUAACCCAGGGAAGUGAAACAUCUCAGUACCUGGAGGAAAAGAAAUCGAAAGAGAUUCCCUUAGUAGUGGCGAGCGAACAGGGAAGAGCCUAAACUUGUCCCGAUGCAAAUCGGGAUGAGGGUUGUAGGGUUUUAACAGUCCCGCUUCGGUGGGACAGGAAGUUACAAAUGGAGUCUAUAGUUGAAUGGUCCUGGAAUGGCCAACCAUAGAUGGUGAAAGUCCAGUAGAUAAAAUAGAUUUCACUUCCUCGUUAGAAUUCCUGAGUAUCAUUGAACACGUGAAAUUCAGUGAGAAUCCGCCCGGACCAUCGGGCAAGGCUAAAUACGAACCUUCAACCGAUAGUGAACAAGUACCGUGAGGGAAAGAUGAAAAGAACCCCUGAUGGGGAGUGAAAUAGAACAUGAAACUGUAUGUCUACAAGCAGUCAAAGCACUAUGUCCUGAUUCCGAGCAAUCGGGAGAAGGAAAUGUGCGAUGGCGUGCCUGUUGAAGAAUGAUCCGGCGAGUUACUUUAACGACCAAGUUUAAGUCCGGACUGAAUAGGUCCGGAUGAAACGUAGGGAAACCGAGUCUUAAUAGGGCGAAUAGGUCGUUGGAGUAGACCCGAAGCCAAGUGAUCUAUCCCUGGCCAGGUUGAAUCCUGCGUAAUAGCAGGAGGAGGACCGAACCAUUUAGUGUUGCAAAACUACUGGAUGAGCUUGGGAUAGGGGUGAAAGGCUAAUCUAACUUGGUGAUAGCUGGUUCUCCCCGAAAUAGCUUUAGGGCUAGCCUGAUAGUUUGAAUUCGAGGGGUAGAGCACUGGAUAAUGUAGGACCUGCAACCCAGGUUCCGAAUUUAACCAAACUCCGAAUACUCGAAUGGACACUAUUGGAGUCAGUUUGUGCGGGAUAAGCUGCACAUGCAAAAGGGGAACAGCCCAGACCAUCGGUUAAGGUCCCAAAAUUGAAGUUAAGUGGAAAAGGACGUAUUAUUGCAAAGACAGCUAGGAGGUUAGCUUAGAAGCAGCUAUCCUUUAAAGAGUGCGUAACAGCUCACUAGUCAAGCGAUUUUGCGCCGAAAAUGUCCGGGGCUAAACUUCAUACCGAAACCAUGGCUGUCCCGAUGUAAGUCCGAAUUUGGACUAUCGGGACGGGGUAGGGGAGCGUUCUAUCAGCAAUGAAGAUAGACCGAGAGGACUAUUGGAGUUGAUGGAAGUGAGGAUGUCGGAAUAAGUAGCGAUAAUGGUUGUGAAAAUCAACCACGCCGAAAGCCCAAGGUUUCCUUGAGCAAUGUUCGUCAGCUCAGGGUUAGUCGGUCCUAAGCUGAGGCCGAAAGGCGUAAGCGAUGGAUAUCCGGUUAAUAUUCCGGAACCAUUCUGGAGUCGUUAGUCACUAACUUUGUGCGCAUUAGAGUAUGGUUAUCUCCGUGUUGAAUUACGGGGUUUAAUCCCGCCGUGAGGCGGGAGAAUACGACCCUCGAGAAAUCGGGGGGAAGUAACUGAAUCUGGUGCCAAGAAAAGCAAAGUUUAGGAGUCUCCGGGAUGACCGUACCGCAAACCAACACAGGUGGGUAGGGUGAAUAACCUAAGGCGCGCGAGUGAUUUGCCGCUAAGGAACUCGGCAAAAUUGCCCUGUAACUUCGGGAUAAAGGGUUCCCCCGAUUUAUCGGGGGAUUCAAUAAAGAGUCUCAUGCGACUGUUUAACAAAAACACAGGUCUCUGCUUAAAUCGUAAGAUGAUGUAUAGGGACUGACGCCUGCCCGGUGCUAGAAGGUCAAGAGGAGUUGUCAUCUCUGACGCAAGUUGGGGAGAAGCGAUGAAUUUAAGCCCUAGUAAACGGCGGCCGUAACUAUUGUUUGGACCACAGUAGUUGUAAAAUCUGGCUAUAUGCUGGAAAAUCCUGGUAUGCUAACAGUACUCCUGUUAAUGUUGAUAAGAACAGGACGUGACAAUCUGUUAGAUAGGGCUGCGUAUUCGCACGAAUAAGUGCGAAUGAGUUACGCAGGACGGCGAGAAGGUGAGCCGGCGGGACAAUCAGCAGGAAAGACCUGAAAUGAGGGCUCCAUGCGAACAGAAACAGGCUAUUACUUAGCAGGUUUUGCAGACGGAGAAGGAAGUUUUAAUAUUUCUUUCAGACCGAGGCAAGAUUAUAAGUUACCGUGGAAAAUCUCUCUCUGCUUUAACAUUUCCCAGAAGGAUAAAGUUAUUCUGUCGUUAUUCAAACGUUAUUUGGUUUGUGGAACAUUAAGGAGCAGACCCGAUGGUGUUUGGUAUUACGAAGUAAAUAACUUCAAUGCGAUAUGGGAAAAGGUAAUACCUUUCUUUAAGAAAUAUAGAUUCUUGUCCGCUAAGAAAAAACGUGACUUCUCAAAAUUUUGCCAGAUAGCAGAAAUGGUAAAAAAAGGGGAGCAUCUUAAAGAAGAUGGUAUCAGAAGAAUUGUUGAAAUAAGACGAGAGAUGAAUGACGGUGGUAAACGCAAGUAUAGCAAUACGGAGAUCCUAAGUAAAUUUCAGGAAUCCCCAGAGACUAUACGCCAGAUCCCGAUAACUCGGGAAUGAUAUAGUCCGGUCUCCGAUGAAAAUCGGAGUUAACAUAAACGAACGGUCCUAAGGUUAGUUUAAUGCUAGCCUGUUCCGGUAGUAAUAUCGGAAGUAAUAUUUAACUAUAUGCGGGGAACUCCCCAAAAAAUGUUUGAUACUAGUCUAUUCAUUUGAAUGGGACAGUAAAAAAUCAACAUACAUGAGGACAAUCCGCAGGGAAGGCAUAUUAUGGAUAAUAAUAUGAACCCUCAGAGACUACACGUUGAAUAUCCGAAUUGCAACAGCUUGACUCCUGACUGGAUUGUGGGAUUCGUAGACGGGGAAGGUUGUUUUCACAUAGGGAUAAAUAAGAAUGACGAAGUUAAAUCCGGGUACCAGGUUUUACCCGAAUUGACAGUCGUCCAACACAAACGAGACAUUCAACUUCUUUAUCGAUUACGCACAUUUAUGAAAUGUGGCGUGGUAAGAAGUAAUCAUGGAGACCGUUUCUGUUGGCGUGUCAGAUGUCUUAAAAACCUUGUGGAAAUAAUUCUUCCAUUUUUUGAAAAGCAUCCAUUGAAAUCAAAAAAAAAUAUUGAAUUUCACAGAUUUGCAAAGGUGGUGCGAAUGAUGGAGAAAGAUAAACACCUUACCCAGGAAGGAUUCCAGAAGAUUAUUAAAAUUGCGGAAGAGAUGAACAGGCAAGAGCAAAGAGAAAUUCGGAUAAAGAUAUAGUCCACACUUCGAUGAAAAUCGAGGAUUUUGUGAGCGAAAUUCCUUGUCGGGUAAGUUCCGACCUGCACGAAUGGCGUAACGAAAUGAGAACUGUCUCGGCGGCAAACUCGGCGAAAUUGUGGUGUCCGUGAAGACGCGGACUACCUGCGGAUAGACGAAAAGACCCCGUGGAGCUUUACUAUAGCUUAAUAUUGAAUUACGGGGUAGGAUGCGUAGCAUAGGUGGGAGGCUUUGAUUCCCCGAUUUUGGUCGGGGAGGAGCCGCCAGUGAAAUACCACCCUUUCUGCUUUGUGGUUCUAAUUCUAGUCCGUGAAACCGGACGGAAGACAGUGUUAGGUGGGUAGUUUGACUGGGGCGGUUACCUCCCAAAGAGUAACGGAGGCGUUCAAAGGUACCCUCAUCCUGAAUAAAAGUCAGGAGUUGAGUGCAAAGGCAUAAGGGUGCUUGACUGCGAGUCCGACGGGACAAGCAGGUACGAAAGUAGGACUUAGUGAUCCGGUGGUUGCGUAUGGAAGUGCCAUCGCUCAACGGAUAAAAGCUACCCCGGGGAUAACAGGCUUAUCGAGCCCGAGAGUCCAUAUCGACGGCUCGGUUUGGCACCUCGAUGUCGGCUCAUCGCAUCCUGGGGCUGGAGCAGGUCCCAAGGGUUUGGCUGUUCGCCAAUUAAAGCGGUACGUGAGCUGGGUUCAGUACGUCGUGAGACAGUACGGUCUCUAUCUUCCGUAGGUGUUGGAAACUUGAGGGGAGCUGGCCUUAGUACGAGAGGACCAGGCUGGACAAGCCUCUGGUGUGCCUGCUAUCGCGUCAGCGGUAUUAGCAGGGUAGCCAUUGCUUGGAUAGAAUAACCGCUGAAAGCAUCUAAGCGGGAAGUCAACCCUAAAACAAGGUUUCCCUCCCGAUGAAAGUCGGGACUGAAGGUCACCAGAAGACUACUGGUUUUAUAGGUCGGGUGUGUAAGUCCAGUAAUGGAUUGAGCUAACCGAUACUAAUCGACCGUGCGGCUUGGCCAU
Non-coding RNA from Elusimicrobia bacterium CG1_02_37_114, 4421 nucleotides. Lineage: Bacteria; Pseudomonadati; Elusimicrobiota. The record is from Rfam.